CCUGGCUCAGAUUGAACGCUGGCGGCAUGCCUAACACAUGCAAGUCGAACGGCAGCACGGUCUAGCUUGCUAGAUGGGUGGCGAGUGGCGGACGGGUGAGUAAUGCGCAGGAAUAUGCCUUAAAGUGGGGGACAACUUGGGGAAACUCAAGCUAAUACCGCGUAAUCUCUUCGGAGAAACGCUGGGGACCUUCGGGCCUGGCGCUUUAAGAUUAGCCU
RNAcentral lists this ribosomal RNA (218 nucleotides) under uncultured bacterium. RNAcentral's name for it is "partial 16S ribosomal RNA". It matches the Rfam family "Bacterial small subunit ribosomal RNA", at positions 18 to 232 of the family's 1533-position model. The record is from RNAcentral.